AGAGUUUGAUCCUGGCUCAGGACGAACGCUGGCGGCGUGCCUAACACAUGCAAGUCGAGCGAUGAAACCCUUCGGGGUGGAUUAGCGGCGGACGGGUGAGUAACACGUGGGUAACCUGCCUCAAAGAGGGGGAUAGCCUCCCGAAAGGGAGAUUAAUACCGCAUAACAUUAGUUUUUCGCAUGAAGAACUAAUUAAAGGAGUAAUCCGCUUUGAGAUGGACCCGCGGCGCAUUAGCUAGUUGGUGAGGUAAUAGCUCACCAAGGCGACGAUGCGUAGCCGACCUGAGAGGGUGAUCGGCCACAUUGGAACUGAGACACGGUCCAGACUCCUACGGGAGGCAGCAGUGGGGAAUAUUGCACAAUGGGCGAAAGCCUGAUGCAGCAACGCCGCGUGAGUGAUGAAGGCCUUCGGGUUGUAAAGCUCUGUCUUUUGGGACGAUAAUGACGGUACCAAAGGAGGAAGCCACGGCUAACUACGUGCCAGCAGCCGCGGUAAUACGUAGGUGGCGAGCGUUGUCCGGAUUUACUGAGCGUAAAGGAUGCGUAGGCGGAUAUUUAAGUGAGAUGUGAAAUACCCGAGCUUAACUUGGGUGCUGCAUUUCAAACUGGAUAUCUAGAGUGCGGGAGAGGAGAAUGGAAUUCCUAGUGUAGCGGUGAAAUGCGUAGAGAUUAGGAAGAACACCAGUGGCGAAGGCGAUUCUCUGGACCGUAACUGACGCUGAGGCAUGAAAGCGUGGGUAGCAAACAGGAUUAGAUACCCUGGUAGUCCACGCCGUAAACGAUGAGUACUAGGUGUAGGA
Molecule: ribosomal RNA, 800 nt
Filed under: uncultured bacterium
Lineage: Bacteria
Description: bacterial SSU rRNA
Rfam family: Bacterial small subunit ribosomal RNA
Source: RNAcentral